RNAcentral lists this ribosomal RNA (253 nucleotides) under uncultured bacterium. Its description in RNAcentral is "partial 16S ribosomal RNA". It matches the Rfam family "Bacterial small subunit ribosomal RNA", at positions 524 to 776 of the family's 1533-position model. The record is from RNAcentral.
UACGGGGGGGGCAAGCGUUGUUCGGAAUUACUGGGCGUAAAGGGCUCGUAGGCGGCCAACUAAGUCAGACGUGAAAUCCCUCGGCUUAACCGAGGAACUGCGUCUGAUACUGGAUGGCUAGAGAUUGGGAGAGGGAUGCGGAAUUCCAGGUGUAGCGGUGAAAUGCGUAGAUAUCUGGAGGAACACCGGUGGCGAAGGCGGCAUCCUGGACCAACACUGACGCUGAGGAGCGAAAGCCAGGGGAGCAAGCGGG